AGAAUAAUGAGUAAGUAUGUGUUUUAAUAUAUUUUACACAAAACAACAAAUCUAUUUUUCCUAUGAACUUUAAAAAAAAAAAACAAGGUCGUUUUCAAUCAAACAUUCCAAACGAAUAAUUUGAAGAACAUCUAACGUGAACAAGAAAAGUAGGUAGGUCAUUUCCCCAUAAAUAUCGAACCGUAAGAAAUUGCAGCAAGCGCGAAGAUGCACUUGUUAAGAAGAUAGUUAAGCAAUCAUCAUAAUUCAAGAAAGAGAUUCAGAAUCGAAAGAAGGUUUAAGAUUACCUCAAAUCGGAGAAUUAGAUGCAGCAGCUAGCUAGCGAUAUGAAUGUUUGCAGAAACAUGAAAACUAUUAUUAUUUAUUAUUAGACGACUUAACUAAGAGUACAUAACCAAACAAGCUACAUCACAACACAGCACACAAACCACAACCAUCUUUGACAGAUAAACAUAAAUAACCAAAUACAAAUUCCAACAAACCAUAAUACAUAAAUCAUACGGGAACAGACGGGACAAGAAGGUUAAGCAUAGUUUUUCCAAAGCCAGUUAAGAAUGUAUGUUCUAUGAAAGAUAUGUUGGCAGCAUUGCAACCCAAGAAGAUCAUUGACCGGAGUGUCAGUGAUAUCGUCUAAGCAAAUACAACAUUCUGUGAAAACAAGCGCUACAGGUGGAUUUUCACGCCAAUCUUUAUUGACCCACCUAUUAUCCUCUCUCAAAAGUUGUAUUGUGCCAAAAGCUUCAUUGCCUUCAACAAUGAAAGGGAUAAAGUUGUUGAAGUGAGUAUCAUCCACGUAAUUGGAGAGAACAGUUGCGGUAUCAUUCCAAUUCCAAUCUAAAGCAUCAAACUGGUGGGGUAUGAUUCUUCUGUUUUCCGUCGGUGGGUACUCCGCAAUGCAAUGACGAAGGGAAGCUCGGUUUGUCAUGGCAUGUACAGGUAGAUGGGCGAAAAAAUCAAACAUUUCUUCAUCCUCUCUCAUCUGGCCUAAUAACACAUCUAUACCUUCUAUAGGACGAUGAAUCAUUUUCGUAUAUGAUAUUCCCGUUACUUGAUAACCAGGUAAGGUGAUAUCCAUCUCCAAAUCAUUAUUGGAACUAACAUCAGUUCCAUAACAUUCCACAACAUGAGAGAUGUCUCGCCAUGCCAUAAAAACAUGUAAUAAACAAAGAAAAUUAAGAAAAAUGAGUAAGUAUGUGUUUUAAUAUAUUUUACACAAAACAACAAAUCUAUUUUUCCUAUGAACUUAAAAAAAAAAAAAAACAAGGUCGUUUUCAAUCAAACAUUCCAAACGAAUAAUUUGAAGAACAUCUAACGUGAAUAAGAAAGGUAGGUAGGUCAUUUCUCCAUAAAUAUCGAACCGUAAGAAAUUGCAGCAAGCGCGAAGAUGAUCUUGUUAAGAAGAAUGUUAAGCAAUCAUCAUAAUUCAAGAAAGAUAUUCAGAAUCGAAAGAAGGUUUAAGAUUACCUCAAAUCGGAGAAUUAGAUGCAGCAGCUAGCUAGCGAUCUGAAUGUUUGCAGAAACAUGAAAACUAUUAUUAUUUAUUAUUAGACGACUUAACUAAGAGUACAUAACCAAACAAGCUACAUCACAACACAACACACAAACCACUAACCAUCUUUGACAGAUAUAACAUAAAUAACCAAAUACAAAUUCCAACAAACCAUAAUACAUAAAUCAUACGGGAACAGACGGGACAAGAAGGUUAAGCAUAGUUUUUCCAAAUCCAGUUAAGAAUGCAUGUUCCAUGGAAGACAUGUUGGCAGCAUUGCAACCCAAGAAGAUCAUUGACCGGAGUGUCAGUGAUAUCGUCUAAGCAAAUACAACAUUCUGUGAAAACAAGCGCUACAGGUGGAUUUUCAUGCCAAUCUUUAUUGACCCACCUAUUAUCCUCUCUCAAAGGUUGUAUUGUGCCAAAAGCUUCAUUGCCUUCAACAAUGAAAGAGAUAAAGUUGUUGAAGUGAGUAUCAUCCACGUAAAUGGAGAGAACAGUUGCGGUAUCUUUCCAGUUCCAAUCUAAACCAUCAAACUGGUGGGGUAUGAUUCUUCUGUUUUCUGUCGGUGGGUACUCCGCAAUGCAAUGACGAAGGGAAGCUCGGUUUGUCAUGGCAUGUACAGGUAGAUGGGCGAAAAAAUCAAACAUUUCUUCAUCCCCUCUCAUCUGGCCUAAUAACACAUCUAUACCUUCUAUAGGACGAUGAAUCAUUCUCGUAAAUGAUAUUUCCGUUACUUGAUAACCAGGUAAGGUGAUAUCCAUCUCUAAAUCAUUAUUGGAACUAACAUCAGUUCCAUAACAUUCCACAACAUGAGAGAUGUCUCGCCAUGCCAUAAUAACCUGUAAUAAACAAUGAAAAUGAAGAAAAAUGAGUAAGUAUGUGUUUUAAUAUAUUUUACACAAAACAACAAAUCUAUUUUUCCUAUGAACUUAAAAAAAAAAACAAGGUCGUUUUUAAUCAAACAUUCCAAACGAAUAAUUUGAAGAAGAUCUAACGUGAACAAGAAAAGUAGGUAGGUCAUUUCCCCAUAAAUAUCGAACCGUAAGAAAUUGCAGCAAGCGCGAAGAUGCACUUGUUAAGAAGAUUGUUAAGCAAUCAUCAUAAUUCAAGAAAGAGAUUCAGAAUCGAAAGAAGGUUUAAGAUUACCUCAAAUCGGAGAAUUAGAUGCAGCAGCUAGCUAGCGAUCUGAAUGUUUGCAGAAACAUGAAAACUAUUAUUAUUUAUUAUUAGACGACUUAACUAAGAGUACAUAACCAAACAAGCUACAUCACAACACAUCACACAAACCACUUACCAUCUUUGACAGAUAUAACAUAAAUAACCAAAUACAAAUUCCAACAAACCAUAAUACAUAAAUCAUACGGGAACAGACGGGACAAGAAGGUUAAGCUUAGUUUUUCCAGACCCAGUUAAGAAUGCAUGUUCCAUGGAAGACAUGUUGGCAGCAUUGCAACCCAAGAAGAUCAUUGACCGGAGUGUCAGUGAUAUCGUCUAAGCAAAUACAACAUUCUGUGAAAACAAGCGCUACAUGUGGAUUUUCACGCCAUUCUUCAUUGACCCACCUAUUCUCCUCUCUCAGAAGUUGUAUUGUGCCAAAAGCUUCAUUGCCUUCAACAAUGAAAGGGAUAAAGUUGUUGAAGUGAGUAUCAUCCACGUAAUUGGAGAGAACAGUUGCGGUAUCAUUCCAAUUCCAAUCUAAAGCAUCAAACUGGUGGGGUAUGAUUCUUCUGUUUUCCGUCGGGGGUACUCCGCAAUGCAAUGACGAAGGGAAGCUCGGUUUGUCAUGGCAUGUACAGGUAGAUGGGCGAAAAAAUCAAACAUUUCUUCAUCCUUUCUCAUCUGGCCUAAUAACACAUCUAUACCUUCUAUUGGACGAUGAAUCGUUCUCGUAAAUGAUAUUCCCGUUACUUGAUGACCAGGUAAGGUGAUAUCCAUCUCCAAAUCAUUAUUGGAACUAACAUCAGUUCCAUAACAUUCCACAACAUGAGAGAUGUCUCGCCAUGCCAUAAAAACAUGUAAUAAACAAAGAAAAUUAAGAAAAAUGAGUAAGUAUGUGUUUUAAUAUAUUUUACACAAAACAACAAAUCUAUUUUUCCUAUGAACUUAAAAAAAAAAAAAAAACAAGGUCGUUUUCAAUCAAACAUUCUAAACGAAUAAUUUGAAGAACAUCUAACGUGAAUAAGAAAGGUAGGUAGGUCAUUUCUCCAUAAAUAUCGAACCGUAAGAAAUUGCAGCAAGCGCGAAGAUGAUCUUGUUAAGAAGAAUGUUAAGCAAUCAUCAUAAUUCAAGAAAGAUAUUCAGAAUCGAAAGAAGUUUAAAGAUUACCUCAAAUCGAAGAAUUAGAUGCAGCAGCUAGCUAGCGAUCUGAAUGUUUGCAGAAACAUGAAAACUAUUAUUAUUUAUUAUUAGACGACUUAACUAAGAGUACAUAACCAAACAAGCUACAUCACAACACAACACACAAACCACUAACCAUCUUUGACAGAUAUAACAUAAAUAACCAAAUACAAAUUCCAACAAACCAUAAUACAUAAAUCAUACGGGAACAGACGGGACAAGAAGGUUAAGCAUAGUUUUUCCAGACCCAGUUAAGAAUGCAUGUUCCAUGAAAGACAUGUUGGCAGCAUUGCAACCCAAGAAGAUCAUUGACCGGAGUGUCAGUGAUAUCGCCUAAGCAAAUACAACAUUCUGUGAAAACAAGCGCUACAUGUGGAUUUUCACGCCAUUCUUCAUUGACCCACCUAUUAUCCUCUCUCAGAAGUUGUAUUGUGCCAAAAGCUUCAUUGCCUUCAACAAUGAAACGGAGAAAGUUGUUGAAGUGAGUAUCAUCCACGUAAUUGGAGAGAACAGUUGCGGUAUCAUUCCAGUUCCAAUCUAAAGCAUCAAACUGGUGCUGUAUGAUUCUUCUGUUUUCCGUCGGUGGGUACUCCGCAAUGCAAUGACGAAGGGAAGCUCGAUUUGUCAUGGCAUGUACAGGUAGAUGGGCGAAAAAAUCAAACAUUUCUUCAUCCUCUCUCAUCUGGCCUAAUAACACAUCUAUACCUUCUAUAGGACAAUGAAUCGUUCUCGUAAAUGAUAUUCCCGUUACUUGAUAACCAGGUAAGGUGAUAUCCAUCUCCAAAUCAUUAUUGGAACUAACAUCAGUUCCAUAACACUCUACAACAUGAGAGAUGUCUCGCCAUGCCAUUAUAACCAGUAAUAAACAAAGAAAAUGAAGAAAAAUGAGUAAGUAUGUGUUUUAAUAUAUUUUACACAAAACAACAAAUCUAUUUUUCCUAUGAACUUAAAAAAAAAAAAACAAACAAGGUCGUUUUCAAUCAAACAUUUCAAACGAAUAAUUUGAAGAACAUCUAACGUGAACAAGAAAAGUAGGUAGGUCAUUUCUCCAUAAAUAUCGAACCGUAAGAAAUUGCAGCAAGCGCGAAGAUGCACCUGUUAAGAAGAUAGUUAAGCAAUCAUCAUAAUUCAAGAAAGAGAUUCAGAAUCGAAAGAAGGUUUAAGAUUACCUCAAAUCGGAGAAUUAGAUGCAGCAGCUAGCUAGCGAUCUGAAUGUUUGCAGAAACAUGAAAACUAUUAUUAUUUAUUAUUAGACGACUUAACUAAGAGUACAUAACCAAACAAGCUACAUCACAACACAGCACACAAACCACUAACCAUCUUUGACAGAUAUAACAUAAAUAACCAAAUACAAAUUCCAACAAACCAUAAUACAUAAAUCAUACGGGAACAGACGGGACAAGAAGGUUAAGCAUAGUUUUUCCAGACCCAGUUAAAAAUGCAUGUUCCAUGGAAGACAUGUUGGCAGCAUUGCAACCCAAGAAGAUCAUUGACCGGAGUGUCAGUGAUAUCGUCUAAGCAAAUACAACAUUCUGUGAAAACAAGCGCUACAUGUGGAUUUUCACGCCAUUCUUCAUUGACCCACCUAUUAUCCUCUCUCAGAAGUUGUAUUGUGCCAAAAGAUUCAUUGCCUUUAACAAUGAAAGGGAUAAAGUUGUUUAAGUGAGUAUCAUCCACGUAAUUGGAGAGAACAGUUGCGGUAUCAUUCCAAUUCCAAUCUAAAGCAUCAAACUGGUGGGGUAUGAUUCUUCUGUUUUCCGUCGGCGGGUACUCCGCAAUGCAAUGACGAAGGGAAGCUCGGUUUGUCAUGGCAUGUACAGGUAGAUGGGCGAAAAAAUCAAACAUUUCUUCAUCCUCUCUCAUCUGGCCUAAUAACACAUCUAUACCUUCUAUAGGACGAUGAAUCAUUCUCGUAAAUGAUAUUCCCGUUACUUGAUAACCAGGUAAGGUGAUAUCCAUCUCCAAAUCAUUAUUGGAACUAACAUCAGUUCCAUAACACUCCACAACAUGAGAGAUGUCUCGCCAUGCCAUAAUAACCUGUAAUAAACAAAGAAAAUGAAGAAAAAUGAGUAAGUAUGUGUUUUAAUAUAUUUUACACAAAACAACAAAUCUAUUUUUCCUAUGAACUUAAAAAAAAAAAAAACAAGGUCGUUUUCAAUCAAACAUUCCAAACGAAUAAUUUGAAGAACAUCUAACGUGAACAAGAAAAGUAGGUAGGUCAUUUCCCCAUAAAUAUCGAACCGUAAGAAAUUGCAGCAAGCGCGAAGAUGCACUUGUUAAGAAGAUAGUUAAGCAAUCAUCAUAAUUCAAGAAAGAGAUUCAGAAUCGAAAGAAGGUUUAAGAUUACCUCAAAUCGGAGAAUUAGAUGCAGCAGCUAGCUAGCGAUAUGAAUGUUUGCAGAAACAUGAAAACUAUUAUUAUUUAUUAUUAGACGACUUAACUAAGAGUACAUAACCAAACAAGCUACAUCAC
Molecule: long non-coding RNA, 6302 nt
Filed under: Brassica rapa (field mustard)
Lineage: Eukaryota; Viridiplantae; Streptophyta; Magnoliopsida; Brassicales; Brassicaceae
Description: long non-coding RNA (BRAP_LNC003598)
Source: RNAcentral